AUCUACAGCUAUACCACCCUGAAUGCACUUGAUCUCAUCUGAUCUUGGAAGCUAAGCAGCGUCAGGCCUGGUGAGUACUUAGAUGGGAGAACUUAUCCAGUGUGAAAAACAGACAGAAAAGUAAUUU
Molecule: ribosomal RNA, 127 nt
Filed under: Equus asinus (donkey)
Lineage: Eukaryota; Metazoa; Chordata; Mammalia; Perissodactyla; Equidae
Also listed under: 1 other name
Source: RNAcentral